ACACAUGGCCGACGCCGGUCAAAGUGUAGUAUCUGUUCUUAUCAGCUUAAUAUAUUAUACGGGUUGUAUUUAGACCCGAGAUAUGAAACUUAUUUUUGCAAGUUGGUGGAGUGCUUGAAGCCUGCUUCACCUUCACCGCGGGUCAGCGCGGUAUUGCACUAUCUUCGGGAUUGGCCCAAGUUUU
Molecule: small nuclear RNA, 184 nt
Organism: Dermacentor albipictus
Lineage: Eukaryota; Metazoa; Arthropoda; Arachnida; Ixodida; Ixodidae
Product: U2 spliceosomal RNA
Source: RefSeq, a predicted model, not a curated record